GGGGGGGGGGGUUAAUCAGUCACAGAGGGAGCAUGCAGUGCUCAGCUGUGCUCUCACAUGGAAUUCCCUCUGUUUGCUCACAGAUAAAAAUGGAAAUUUGUUUGGGAUUGUAGGAUUUGACACAAUAUUCUUGUGUCUUUAAUGCCAUUACAUGCUCAUAUGAUCUGUUCCUUUUGGGAUGUAUUUGUUAUGCCAUUUCCUGUAGGAAGGACGGCUGCAGCAAACCCUGAAAAAGCAAGAGUGUGACAGCAUUUGAAUGGUUAACUCCCACCCUCUCUUCUUCUUUCCAGCUCUUCUUUUGAUCCCCAUUCCUCUGCUCUUGUAUUCAACGUCACACUGUGGCUUCAGCCAAUCACUGCCACUGUCCAGCCCCUUCACUGCUUCUUUACUCCACCCCCUGCCUUUGGCACAUUAUAUACCCACACGCAGUCCAGCUGGGAGAGUGUUCAACAUGCUGCUGCUGAUUCACAGUGCAGACUAUUAUAACACUGCACAGCAGAGAAAGAGAGGAGGACUGCACAGGGACUUCGGAUGUUUUGUUGCUGGCCAUGCUCCUUUUGCACGUAGGGAUGUUUUGUUGCUGGCCAUGCUCCUUUUGCACGUAGUUUCACAUCGGACUGUUUAGAUCUAGGCUUCAUCUCUUCUCAAGCCAGUACUGGAUUCGGAGUACAGUAGAGGAAGUUUCCACCUGGCUUCCAAUAGCCUCACUGGCUUCUAAUUUUUUAAAAAUGGGCUGUACCACAGGGCACCUGGCAUGCCAGCCCCAGCCUUCUUCAAACACCAACCAGGAGGGACAGACUCCGGAGGGGGCAGCCAAAGUCCCAGAGGUCCUGUCUUCUUUAGAGAAGCUUUCUCAGGCCACAGGGGGCAUGGAAAAAUCUUGGUAUCGCUGCAUCUUCCCCUUUGGAAUCAUCUCACUGGUAAUUGGUAUAGCUGGCACGAGCGUGACCUACACCUACAACGAUCUCCCACAGACCAAGGUGGUCUCUGUGGUCUUGCUGAUUGUCGGGCUGGUCCUGAUGGUAAUGGCUACUGCCUGUUGGACAACACAUAAGAAGAAACGCAGGAAAAAGAAAGCAGGAGAACCCUUUACCACUGAACCGUGUCCCCUGUGAGGAGAGACUACAAGGACGAAGAUGCUUUUGAUUGAGAACACAGGGAGUUGUGAUGCCACCUUGCCUUUUGUUUAGCAUUUCUUUUUGCCAAACUUCGGUCCAUGUAUUCACUCAGGUAGCAGCAGUGUGAACAUGGAAAAAGGACAGAUGGACAAUGUGUUCAGGACACCCAGGGAGCCAUGCAACCCAGUGGACAAGUAUGAGGGUUCGCACAUGGUUUACUGCCACUCAGCAAGUGUCUAGUGUCAAAACAACUCCAGAGCCACAUGCACAUUUAAGACACUUAACGCUUGGGCCGUAACACCAAGCCACUGCUGAAGUCAGUGCUGCCGUCAACACAGCCGUCAGUCCCCUGCAUUCCUGCCUUUGGGGUCAAAUGUCUCUCCAAGGCUAGCAAAGAAGUGAUCCAGAGAAGGCAACCAGACACCGCGACAAAAAGCAGAGCUGCAACCCCGUAAUCGUUGCACGUCAUUCCCCUGUCCUGUGACACUACAGCAAUGUGUGAGCUUUUUACGCAAUGGGAGAGUGGAACCUGAGCUGAGCCUCAACUAGUCCUUACUGAGAAUGAUAUUACUAAAGGAGAAAAAACACAAAAGGACACCAGAUGUCAUGACUUGCAUCCAGAGUUUACUUCACUCCUGUGCCUUGAGCAAGUGGGACUCAAGUGGCGUACAGUACCUUCUCACCGUUCUCUUUGGCCUUUUGCUCUUCAUAAACCUAUUGGCCAACAGCAGCUUUUCCAUUCAAGCUAAUCCUGAUUCUCAUGUCAUUUCUGUCUUAAGGGGUUACUUUCCAUCAGUCCCGUCUGCUGCCCUUCUCUUUCACACCCUGCUCAUAAACCCCCCAUUGCUCCAGUUCCAUAAACUGCCAUCAUUCUAGCAUUUCACAUCCAUCCCCAUGGCAGAAAUACCAAUCAUUACACCGUGUCUGGAAUUCUCUCCAUUUGAAGAAAGACCUUCACCCAGGUUGGUAGAUAAAUACCAAAUUAAUGAACUCUCUCUCUCUAUAUAUAUAUAUAUAUAUAUGUGUGUGUGUGUGUGUGUGUGUGUGUGUUUAUAAUUAUUAUUAUUAUGUUGGCUUUCCAUCACUAUUUAUUGUAUUUCACUUGGAUGAAUGAAUUGGUUUGUGAAAUAUUGUGAGUGUUGUUCAAUUGUUAAGCUCUGGUUGUAUACUGAGAACCUGUUUAUUCGUUAUGAUUGGUAGAGAAAGUAUUCAAGACAAGAAUGUUUUUCUGGGAUUAAAAAAAAGUGAAUAAUUUAUUAUUCAGGAUGAAACCGAUCCCAUGAGUUUAUUUAGUUUAUUUGACAAGUAAGAACCUCCUGGCCCAUUCAGCUAGAGAAAAGAUUGCAAGUAGAAAAAGGACACCAAUUUAGCAUCAAUGAAGAGAAACAGCACAUAGGGUAUACUUGAGAAGACAGUUGUUGAAGAAUAUCCGUUCAUCUGGCUUCAGUCAGAUUUUGUACAGUGGGAAUUCCCUUGAGUGUCUCCAUGAAACUAAUGACGGAUUGCAGUUGCAGUCAUAAACGUUCUUUAACACUGUCAUUUGCAGAACAAAUGGAUUUUUUAAAUUCUUUUUUUUUAUUAUGAAUGAUGUAUUUCAAGAAUGUCAAUAUCUAAAUGCUUACUGAAAGGUCUUUCUGUGAACCGAGAUUAAUUGGUAAAUAAUUCCUCCAUUUCUUUUUGAAAAGGAAAGGUGUGCCUUGUAAAAGACAUUGGGAAAAACAAUAUGCUCUGAUGGUGUUUUCAACAAUACAGAAUGCUGUUGCUGCAGGCUAUAGUGCAUCUCAGUUCAUUCGAACACCGCUUAAGUGAAAGGAAUUGUAGGGACCAGGUGCGGUAGUCAUGCAUAAGUGAUCAUUUUGAAGAAAUUAUAUAGACCAGUAAAUUAGGGGGAAGUGUUUACAAAGCAACAGCUGUGGUAUGAAAUUUAGGGAUGAGUAUGAAUUAAGCAGUCAUAAGAGCAUUAUCUUAAAACGUAGCUUGAUGGCUGCCUAAUUAUGACUGAAAGAUUGAGGGCCUCACGAGUAGUUGAUAUCAGUCUAACAAUCUCUUCUAUCUGUGCUAUGGGAGAUGACGCAGAGUAGCUGCCAGACAGUAAACAUGACAUGGUGAUCUUUUCCUGUGUGUAAAGUGCUCUGUUAAGUGUGGAAUUAUCAGCUGUGUGAAAGGCUAUUCCACUCGGGUCAUACCUUGGCCUACAUACUCCACAGGCAGGCAAGGUGAGAUAAAAAAAGAUAGAGGGGAAUACACAGCUGUAGAGAGCUGAGCAAUUUCAUUGAGGAAAAAACAGCGUGGAAGGAAACUGCUGAGUGCUUGGAAUGCAGAAAUAUUAGUUGUCAAGCAUCUAUAUGUAUCUCUCCCUCUCUCUGGUUCUAUCUCUGUCUCUUGAUAUGCGGCCGCCCACUCGUGCCCUACACAUAUCCCAGCCGUAUAUUCGUUCAUUCAGCUAUGGCUUUGCAAAUGCACUCUUGCGCUGUAUAUUCAUACCAGCGGCCAUGAUGCCAAGUUAUUAAUGACCGUUUUGUUUUCAAACCCUGCUUUAAUACACUGAGGAAAGAGUGUUGUGUAUGACAUCUUUAUUCUGCUGCUUUUUUUGGGGGGGGAGAAAAUCUACCUCUUUGUCUUUGGGGGUAUACUUUAUUGGAUUGGCCUGUGAUCUGUAAUGUAUUUAGCUAUGUAAAUACCAACUUAUAUAUAUUUAUAUAUUUAUACUCGUAUUUAAACACAUUUUGAAAUUGUAUUAAAGAAAUGUCAAUUGAGAUGGGCCUUUUUUUAUUAGGAUGCUACAAAUAAAAAGUAUGAAAUGUGGUUUAUUCAUUUAUUGUUAAUUAAAUCAUUUAACCUUUAAAUGAUGUGUUUCUCAAGCAUUUGUGCAUACAUCAGGUACAAUCACCAAUAAUGAUGUAAAACUAUCAAUACAUCUGGAGUUUGCAUGUCCUUCCUGUGGUGCGGUGGUUUCCUCCGGGUACUCCGGUUUCCUCCUCUGGUCCAUAGACAUGCAUGGUAGGCUGAUUGGCAUGUCCAAAGUGUCCGUAGUGUAUGAAUGUGUAUGUGAGUGUGCCCUGUGAUGGAUUGGCACCCCGUCCAGGGUGUACCCUGCCUUGUGCCCCAUGCUCCCUGGGAUAGGCUCCAGGUUCCCCGCCACCCUGUAAAAUAAGCGGUAUAGAGGAUGGAUGGAUUCAUUCAUUCAUUCAUUUUCAGUAACCACCUCAUCCUGGGCAAGGUCAUGCAAGGCACGGAUACAUCCUGGAUGGGACAGCAGACCAAUUCAAGGCACCACACAUGCAAACCCAUUCACAAUGAAGCGCAGUUAAGCAUAGCCAGUCCAUCUUGUUUUUUGGGAAGUGGGAGGAAACCGGACAAGCGUAUAGGAAAUCCACAUAGACACAGCAAGAACAUGUGAAACUCCCCACAGACAGUAAUCUGGGUUCAGGCUUGAAGUGGGGACCCUGUAGCUGUGAGGUGGCAAUGAUAUGAUAUAGACAAUUACAAAAUAAUAUUUUGUUGAAUUUUUAUAUUUUGUCAUAUAUUGUAGGCUAUGUAAUGCAGACUGUAGUACAAACUAUAGGCAAUAUUUUGCCUAUAGUUUGAUUAUAUUAAACACACUGUGAGCUACAUAUUACUCAACAUUAUUCCUAUUCCUAUGUCCAAUGUCCCCUGUCAGUGUUAAUGAAUUAUAUAACAAAAAUGCACAUUGUUUCUACGUUUUGUAUUUUGGUAUUGGUAACUUGCUUUUGAAAAAAAAAAAAGAAAAGAAAAAUUCUAAUUCCAAUACUAGGGAAAUAGGAUCUUAACUAAAAAAAAUGAGUUCCAAAAAAAAAAAAAUUAAAAAAAAUAAUGGACCUGUGGUAUACAUUUAAGUUUUUAUUAUUAUUUUUAUCUUAAAUAACUUUUAAGACCAGUUCAGGAAAGGCACGUUGUGCAUGUGUAAUACUCUCACCCUUCUGCUUUAUGAAGGCCUGAGCUAAAAAUACCUGUUGAGGAACCAUGUGAGGUAGAGAGUAAGAGAUCAAAACCUGAAAAAAACCUGGGUUUGUUUGAGGAUUAUUGUUGUGUAUACUGUGUAUAACUAUGCAUGUGAUGGCAAACAAAAGCUUCUGAAACAUUGUAAGGUUAGGAAAUAUUGAAAACUCAAUACCUCAAAAUUAAAUACCAAAAUACAUUUAGUAACAACAAUAAUAAUUAUAAUAACAAUAUAUUUUUUUCUUUUACCACUGUUUGUGUUCAUUGACUACAAUACAUUGUGUUUACUUUAUGACCAUCUCC
Ictalurus punctatus (channel catfish) is the source of this 5381-nucleotide long non-coding RNA. The record is from Ensembl. NCBI's taxonomy places the organism in Eukaryota, Metazoa, Chordata, Actinopteri, Siluriformes, Ictaluridae.